UACGUAGGGUGCGAGCGUUAAUCGGAAUUACUGGGCGUAAAGCGUGCGCAGGCGGUUUUGUAAGGCAGAUGGGAAAUCCCCGGGCUUAACCUGGGAAUGGCAUUUGGGACUGCAAGGCUUGAGUGCGGCAGAGGAGACUGGAAUUCCUGGUGUAGCAGUGAAAUGCGUAGAUAUCGUCAGGAACGCCAAUGGUGAAGACAGGUGACUGGGCUAGUUCUGACACUGAGGCACGAAAGCGUGGGGAGCGAACGGG
This 253-nucleotide ribosomal RNA is filed under the name uncultured bacterium. RNAcentral describes it as "partial 16S ribosomal RNA". It matches the Rfam family "Bacterial small subunit ribosomal RNA", at positions 524 to 776 of the family's 1533-position model. The record is from RNAcentral.